GGCUUUAUAGUCAAUUGUUAAUGAUAUUAGACUGCAAUUCUAAAGUAGAGAUUAUAUUUAUCUUUAAAGCCU
Molecule: transfer RNA, 72 nt
Filed under: Aethus nigritus
Lineage: Eukaryota; Metazoa; Arthropoda; Insecta; Hemiptera; Cydnidae
Description: tRNA-Cys
Source: RNAcentral